GGAGAGGUGGCCGAGUGGCUGAAGGCGCUCCCCUGCUAAGGGAGUAUACGUGAUAAGCGUAUCGAGGGUUCGAAUCCCUUCCUCUCCGCCA
RNAcentral lists this transfer RNA (91 nucleotides) under Henriciella sp. RNAcentral's name for it is "tRNA-Ser". It matches the Rfam family "tRNA". From Rfam's summary of the family: Transfer RNA (tRNA) molecules are approximately 80 nucleotides in length. RNAcentral also lists the same sequence under 5 other names. Lineage: Bacteria; Pseudomonadati; Pseudomonadota; Alphaproteobacteria; Hyphomonadales; Hyphomonadaceae. The record is from RNAcentral.